UACCUACGGGACGCAGCAGUAGGGAAUCUUCCACAAUGGACGAAAGUCUGAUGGAGCAACGCCGCGUGAGUGAAGAAGGGCUUCGGCUCGUAAAGCUCUGUUGGUAGUGAAGAAAGAUAGAGGUAGUAACUGGCCUUUAUUUGACGGUAAUUACUUAGAAAGUCACGGCUAACUACGUGCCAGCAGCCGCGGUAAUACGUAGGUGGCAAGCGUUGUCCGGAUUUAUUGGGCGUAAAGCGAGUGCAGGCGGUUCAAUAAGGCUGAUGUGAAAGGCUUCGGGGCAAACGGAGAAUUG
RNAcentral lists this ribosomal RNA (295 nucleotides) under uncultured bacterium. RNAcentral's name for it is "partial 16S ribosomal RNA". It matches the Rfam family "Bacterial small subunit ribosomal RNA", at positions 335 to 623 of the family's 1533-position model. The record is from RNAcentral.